Molecule: microRNA precursor, 215 nt
Filed under: Physcomitrium patens
Lineage: Eukaryota; Viridiplantae; Streptophyta; Bryopsida; Funariales; Funariaceae
Description: Physcomitrella patens miR1059 stem-loop (ppt-MIR1059)
Source: miRBase by way of RNAcentral
UGCGAGGCAACCUUGAUCCCAUUACGACGUGAAAGUCCUUCACAAACAACAGUGUUUAAAGGAAUCACCUAGAAGUCAUUGUGUAGGAGCUUGGUGGGCGAUCUAAUUGCAAUCAAGGACCGCCCAGUCGCUACCAUUUAACGCCAUCCUCCGACCUGGGACUCGCGUUGUUUGUGGAGGACUUUCACGCCGUAAUGAGAUCACUAGUUCUGUUU